RNAcentral lists this ribosomal RNA (1929 nucleotides) under human gut metagenome. Its description in RNAcentral is "bacterial LSU rRNA". It matches the Rfam family "Bacterial large subunit ribosomal RNA", at positions 3 to 1977 of the family's 2925-position model. The record is from RNAcentral.
UCAAGCGACUAAGUGUAUGUGGUGGAUGCCUUGGCGAUCACAGGCGAUGAAGGACGUGACAGCCUGCGAAAAGCUGUGGGGAGCUGGCAAAUAAGCUUUGAUCCACAGAUGUCCGAAUGAGGGAACUCACCUGCUUUGCAGGUAUCCCAUCCUGAAUAUAUAGGGAUGGGAGGCGAACGAAGCGAACUGAAACAUCUAAGUAGCUUCAGGAAAAGAAAUCAACCGAGAUUCCGAAAGUAGCGGCGAGCGAAAUCGGAUCAGCCCAGCACUCGAUAGCAGCCAACUUACGGGAACGGUCUGGAAAGUCCGGCCAUAGAGGGUGAUAGCCCCUUACUGGAAAAGGCAGCUGCGGUACUAAGUGUGCGAUAAGUAGAGCGGGACACGUGACAUCCUGCUCGAAGAUGGGGGGACCAUCCUCCAAGGCUAAAUACUCGUGAUCGACCGAUAGCGUACCAGUACUGUGAAGGAAAGGUUAAAAGAACCCCGGGAGGGGAGUGAAAUAGAUCCUGAAACCGCAUACAUACAAACAGUAGGAGCCUCGUUAAGGGGUGACUGCGUACCUUUUGCAUAAUGGGUCAGCGACUUACGUUUAAUGGCGAGCUUAACCGUAUAGGGGAGGCGCAGCGAAAGCGAGUUCGAACAGAGCGUUCAGUCGUUAGGCGUAGACCCGAAACCAGAUGAUCUAUCCAUGGCCAGGUUGAAGGUGUGGUAACACACACUGGAGGACCGAACCGACUAGUGUUGCAAAAUUAGCGGAUGAGCUGUGGAUAGGGGUGAAAGGCUAAACAAAUCUGGAGAUAGCUGGUUCUCCCCGAAAACUAUUGAGGUAGUGCCUCGUGUAUGACUCCAGGGGGUAGAGCACUGUUAUGGCUAGGGGGACAUGGCGUCUUACCAAACCAUGGCAAACUCCGAAUACUUGGAAGUUUGAGCACGGGAGACAGAGCACCGGGUGCUAACGUCCGGACUCAAGAGGGAAACAACCCAGACCGCCGGCUAAGGUCCCUAAUAUUGACUAAGUGGAAAACGAAGUGGAAAGGCUAAGACAGUCAGGAAGUUGGCUUAGAAGCAGCCAUCCUUCAAAGAAAGCGUAAUAGCUCACUGAUCGAGUCUUUCUGCGCGGAAGAUGUAACGGGGCUAAGUCAAUAACCGAAGCCGCGGAUUCACACUUGUGUGUGAGUGGUAGGGGAGCGUUCUGUAAGCCUGCGAAGGUGACUCGUAAGGGUUGCUGGAGGUAUCAGAAGUGCGAAUGCUGACAUGAGUAACGUUAAAGCGGGUGAAAAGCCCGCUCGCCGUAAGCCCAAGGUUUCCUGCUCUACGUUCAUCGGAGCAGGGUGAGUCGGCCCCUAAGGUGAGGCUGAGAAGCGUAACUGAUGGGAACAAGGUUAAUAUUCCUUGACCACCGCUGAAUGCGAAGGGGGGACGGAGUAUUGAAGAUCAUCCGGGUGUUGGAUAUCCCGGUUUGCGAGCGUAGGAGGCUGACAGGCAAAUCCGUCAGCGAAUCUCCGAGGCGAAGCAUCGAGCUCUCUUUUGAGCGAAGUGAUUGGAUGUGCUUCCAGGAAAAGCCUCUAAGCUCCAGUUCAGCGGGACCGUACCGCAAACCGACACUGGUGGGCGAGCUGAAUAUGCUCAGGCGCUUGAGAGAACUCAGGAGAAGGAACUCGGCAAAUUGACACCGUAACUUCGGGAUAAGGUGUGCCUUUGUAGCGUGGAGGGAGAAACACCCCGAGCGCGAAGAGGUCUCAGAUAAUCGGUGGCUGCGACUGUUUAUUAAAAACACAGCACUCUGCAAAGACGAAAGUCGACGUAUAGGGUGUGAUGCCUGCCCGGUGCUGGAAGAUUAAUUGAUGGGGUGCAAGCUCCUGAUCGAAGUCCCAGUAAACGGCGGCCGUAACUAUAACGGUCCUAAGGUAGCGAAAUUCCUUGUCGGGU